Molecule: long non-coding RNA, 847 nt
Organism: Cyprinus carpio (common carp)
Lineage: Eukaryota; Metazoa; Chordata; Actinopteri; Cypriniformes; Cyprinidae
Source: Ensembl
AUGAUAUCGCAGGACUUUAAAGUUAUAUUCCCUGACCAGGCGGACCGCCUUUAUGAAUUCUGGGCUCCUGUCAUCACUGACCGGAUUUUACUCUUUGCAAAGAAAGAACCCAAGGCUUCAGAUGUUCUUCCAGAAAAUCUGGAAACACUGGCAAUAGGUGUUCGUGCAGAAAUUGCCUUUAAAACAUUUCCUGCCAUCCUGCCAUCUGCACCAUACCACACAAAUGGAAAAAUGGUGCGCCCAACAUACACAGAAAUUAAGCAGUCCUUCAUUGACAUUCAACCUGUUGGCACUAAUAUAGUGCAGUACUUGAACCACGAGACAAGCCAGAAUCCACAUGUCCUGGUGCUUGGUGACAAGGAAGACUCUUCCCAAGUUUUUAUUAUUUUCAACGGGGAGGCGAUGGAACAGGAGACACUACUACAAGCAGUCGAUCUGUGUUUCAAACUUUUCUUUGUAUAUGACAUCAACUACCCAAAGCCCUGUGCUCCCAUUUGGGAGUUUUUGGAGCACACAGUCUUUAAUAUUCCAGGUGGAGUUCCUUCUGCACACUGCCUCCUCCUAAAAAACUUUGUAUUUAGUAAUCAGUAAAAAAAAAAAAUUAUUUUACUGAUCAUCAGUAGGCCCAGCAGCUAGCAGAUUAUUAUUAUUAUUAUUACUUGUGUUUAUGAUUAUUUUUUGUUUUACUGUUAUGUUUAUAUGUUAUGUUUUUGUGAACUGUAUGUGCACAUUUGUGUGUUUUGAUAUGAAUAUGAAUUGACACACAUUUGUACAUCUUGAAAAUGUCAGUUUUUUACACAUUCGUGUACAUUUAAAUAAAAUAUUUCAAAAUAUAUUUGUUAUAUAU